CUAUACUGCAGUCGAGCGAAUGGAUUAAGAGCUUGCUCUUAUGAAGUUAGCGGCGGACGGGUGAGUAACACGUGGGUAACCUGCCCAUAAGACUGGGAUAACUCCGGGAAACCGGGGCUAAUACCGGAUAACAUUUUGAACCGCAUGGUUCGAAAUUGAAAGGCGGCUUCGGCUGUCACUUAUGGAUGGACCCGCGUCGCAUUAGCUAGUUGGUGAGGUAACGGCUCACCAAGGCAACGAUGCGUAGCCGACCUGAGAGGGUGAUCGGCCACACUGGGACUGAGACACGGCCCAGACUCCUACGGGAGGCAGCAGUAGGGAAUCUUCCGCAAUGGACGAAAGUCUGACGGAGCAACGCCGCGUGAGUGAUGAAGGCUUUCGGGUCGUAAAACUCUGUUGUUAGGGAAGAACAAGUGCUAGUUGAAUAAGCUGGCACCUUGACGGUACCUAACCAGAAAGCCACGGCUAACUACGUGCCAGCAGCCGCGGUAAUACGUAGGUGGCAAGCGUUAUCCGGAAUUAUUGGGCGUAAAGCGCGCGCAGGUGGUUUCUUAAGUCUGAUGUGAAAGCCCACGGCUCAACCGUGGAGGGUCAUUGGAAACUGGGAGACUUGAGUGCAGAAGAGGAAAGUGGAAUUCCAUGUGUAGCGUGAAUUGCGUAGAGAUAUGGAGG
This 672-nucleotide ribosomal RNA is filed under the name Bacillus cereus. Its description in RNAcentral is "bacterial SSU rRNA". It matches the Rfam family "Bacterial small subunit ribosomal RNA", at positions 49 to 704 of the family's 1533-position model. Lineage: Bacteria; Bacillati; Bacillota; Bacilli; Caryophanales; Bacillaceae. The record is from RNAcentral.